UUUAAAUAGAACAGGAAUUAUCAAAUUGUGUUUUCUCUUCCGUCUUUUCAGCCAUUACAUAUCCAGAAUCAAGUUCAUCUCCUGAGCCAUCCCCACUGAUGGAAAGGCGGAGCCGUUGGUCAAAACCUCAUGUUAGGUAAAAAGCGUGACGAAAGUUCUGACUUUUCUCUGUCUGCUCACUUAGCCCCUCCUCCGUGUGGAUUUACAGAUAUGAAUGAGCACAGUGAGGCAGAAUGUGAUAUUUCUACCGUGGGGAAACUGAAGGUCUUCAAAAAGAAGAUCCAUCGCUCAAGUAAAAGCUCUCUAUCUAGUCAAAAACCUCUGUUCUCGACCGAAGAGCACAAUUUUACUAUUGCUGUAUAGUUAGAUGAAAAGUUGCUCUUUGGGAUUUGUAUCGAAUCAUUUUAUUUUUCUGCCGCCUUCCAUUUUUGUCUCCAAGUCAAACACCGCUGAUGUUGCAACAGUAGGGUAUUUAUGAGUUAAUUUCUGAUCUACAUAUCAAUUUUUGCCAAACACCUAAUUGAUUAGCCACUAUUUUUUGUUCAAAAAUUCGAGCUUCAACUGACAACUUGCCGAACAUUCAAUCAUGAAAAUGUGCAUUUGCAAAAAGAAUUAAAUAUCAUGCGUCUUUAGAAAAUCUUUGGAUCACCAUCAUUACAACUUAAAAGGAAAAUUAACUUUUCACUUCGGAAUACCAACAUGCAAAGUAAAAUGCGACAUCUGAUCAUAAUUGUUAAAACAAAACAGUUCUUUAAAAUGAGUUUAUUUUAACCACUUUGAAGAUAGAUUGCCACUCUGCACUGAUGCUUUAUCACUGGUGAUUUGGAUACAAAUUGUCUGUCUCUUUUUAAAUGUUAAACUUUGUUAAAUUUUAUUGAUAGGAUAAACUUAUCAAAAUACGCUUAAAAUGGUUCCUAGUAGAUAUUUAUUUCAGUUAUAUCUUACUUUUAUGUGUUUUGUUUUUUCUUCUCUUUUUUCAUCAGUAAAUUUGAAUUUAAUGAGGAAUAAAAAUCAUCCUCCUCCUUUUUUUCUUGCUUUUAUUGUUUGUGGUGAUGAACAUUCAUUAUAGCAGAUAGCUGGAAUAAAUCUAGCACUUUUCAUGUUUCAGUCAUCAAAUCAGGAACUUUUGAUAUUUUACAGAUUUUCUAGUCAUUUAAUAAAAAUAAUUAUACUUUACCUUGACUCAAAAGUUGCUGUUAGGGGUAGUUGUGCAAAGAAAUUUUACCUGAGUGUGCAAUUUGAUUCAAAUAGACCAUUCUUUUUCUUGUGAGUGCAGGAUUCAAAAUUCCCAUAGUCAAUGUAAACUAAAAAUGGUAAUAUCUUGAGUAUGUAAAAGUUGUUUUUGGUAAUUAUUGUUGUAAGACCGGUGCUCCAUGUGAAAUUUUGGUAAGGAAUCAAGUACCAGAAUGCUUAAAUUUGCACAUUGUCUAGUAGUCUAUUUGUAACAAAGGGCUUAAAUUAUCUGACCAGAGGUUGCCGUUUAUUCUGUUAUGAAAAUGACAGUAUGAAAGAUCAUUCAAUGAGUAUUUUCCCCUCAGUUUAUUGACGUGUCAUCUAGAAAUUUCUAAGUGUCAAGAGAAACCAAUAUGCCUUUGUCUACAUCGACUCCAUGCUCAAGCUAUUUCAAAAUGUGGAUAUCAGUAUCAAAAUGGAUUUCUCUGAGCAUGUAAAUACACGCCUUGCACUGCCCUUAAGACUGAUUCAAAGCAUCUGAAUUUUGAUGUUUCAAAAUAUCACAAAAACCAAUCCACAAUUACUUCUAAUACUAAUGCAAUUUUACUUUCUUAUGAACUUAAUUGCUCAUUUUUAUACGUUUUUCGUUUGAGAUUUUGUGUAGAGUCAAUGCACUAAUUUGAUUGGUUAAAUACUCUCUCUUGAGUUCAAUUUUGUAAAAUUUUUCAUGUUUUAACUUAUUAUUUACCUAUCAAUAGGUAUAAGUCAUUUUUUUAAAUUUUUUUAAAAAAUGAAAAAUUAGACCAGGGAAUUAUGUACAGUAUUGUUGCAUAUAUUGAUUUAUUUGUACCUCUUUAAAUUUUUUUAUUAAUAAAUCUAUUUUAUAUUUUUU
RNAcentral lists this long non-coding RNA (2065 nucleotides) under Bemisia tabaci. RNAcentral describes it as "lncRNA ENSASIAIIG006855". Lineage: Eukaryota; Metazoa; Arthropoda; Insecta; Hemiptera; Aleyrodidae. The record is from RNAcentral.